CCAAAAAUGUAUAGAGACUAAAAAGUUUACCGAAGCAGUAAAUAAAAAUAAAUUUUUAUGGUAGUGGAACGUUUUGUAUUUUUUUGAAGAGAAAUUGUAAAAUUUCUUGAAGAAAUCAAAAGUGAGAAUGCUGACAUAAGUAACGAAAAAUAUAGUGUAUAAAUCUAUAUCGCUGUAAAUUCAAAGAUUUCAGUGUACAGGUUCCCUGCAAUGAGUGAUACAGUCUCUAAGACUAUAGUGAAAACUUAAGUUGAUGAGGAAAAAGAUUGAAUAUUUCUUUUAUAAUUUAAGAAAAAUAAAAAGAAAGAGUCACUUAUUAUUUUAUGUUAAUUAUUUUAAUGAUAAGCGAUUAUUUUUUUUCUGGAAAAAUUCUUAAAUACAAACUGUACUUAAACCGACACAGGUGAAUUGGUAUAAAUGUACUAAAGCGAUUGAAAGAAUAAUAUUGAAGGAACUCGGCAAAAUAACUCUGUUACUUCGGUAUAAGGAGAGUCACUGCUUAACAAUUAUUAAGCAAGUGAUGUCAAAAAUAUGGGGUAGCGACUGUUUAAUAAAAACACAGGACUCUGCUAAAUUGUAAAAUGAUGUAUAGAGUCUGACACCUGCCCAGUGCUGUAAAGUUAAAAAUUAAGAGUUUAGGCUUUUAAUUUAAUCUCCAGUAAACGGCGGCUGUAACUCUGACGGUCCUAAGGUAGCGAAAUUCCUUGUCUAGUAAUUUUAGACCUGCAUGAAUGGUGUAACGACUUCCCCACUGUCUCCAAUAUUCUUUCAGUGAAAUUAGAAUAUCCGUGAAGAUACGGAUUUUAUAUGAUUAGACGGAAAGACCCUGUGCACCUUUACUAGAUUUUUAUAUUGUUACAAAAAUUAAACUGUGUAGAAUAGGUGGGAGCUUAGGAUUAAAAAAGAAGCGCUCUUGAAAUACCACCCUUUUUAAUAUUUUGAACUCAUUUAAUCCCUUUGGCCAGUGCGCGCAGCCUUCAGCGCGGCCUUCACAAAUUGCGGGACCGAAAUUUCUCGACCCGCUACUUGCAGUCAGAUUUCUUUUAGUCGCGCUAUUUUUUGGCGCAAUCUUUCUACUUGAACCAGCCUCUGAGCAUUUCCGA
RNAcentral lists this ribosomal RNA (1103 nucleotides) under Polymyxa betae. It matches the Rfam family "Bacterial large subunit ribosomal RNA", at positions 1164 to 2241 of the family's 2925-position model. Lineage: Eukaryota; Endomyxa; Phytomyxea; Plasmodiophorida; Plasmodiophoridae. The record is from RNAcentral.